Molecule: non-coding RNA, 199 nt
Organism: Gasterosteus aculeatus aculeatus (three-spined stickleback)
Lineage: Eukaryota; Metazoa; Chordata; Actinopteri; Perciformes; Gasterosteidae
Source: RefSeq, a predicted model, not a curated record
GAGACAUCGAGACACCAGAAUCUCACCAUGAAGGGACGACAUUUACAAGUUGUUUGUGGAUUUUAUUGUGAAAUCGUCCCAGUUUGACACGAAGCGUUUCUCAGAAGCAAAGUGUCAGCGUGGACGUGAGGAUGGGACGCGCUUUGUUUGGUGUGUUGGGGCUUUUCUUGCUGAAUAUUCUCCUCUACUGUGGACACGC